GUUGAUUUAAAUAUAUACAUCAAUUUGAAAAGAAAUGACAUCAUAAGUGUUGAGUCUCACCACGAGCAUGACACAUCUCUGUAUUUUUUUGUCUUCCUUUACGACUGUCAGUUUUCAUAUAGUUCCUGCAUAUCUAUUGUUAAACUCAUUUUUAGGGUACUUUACUUUCACAGUUGCUAGCAUGUGUGGGGGUCUUCCCCCUACUCUUUUAUUUUCCAAUUAUUGGUAGAGAGGAAGGGAAUUGAUUUGUGAAUGUUUAUUUUGUAUCCAUUCUCUUUAACUGAAUUCUUAUCAAUCCUAAGAAUUUUUCAUUUGAUUAUCUUAGGAAUAAAAUCACAUUAUGGACAAAUGACAAUUCUAUCUCCUUCCAUUUCCUUCCUCUAGUUGAACCUCUUUUUCAGCUGCUUUUUAUUGCAUUUGGCAGAGCAGAUCCUUUCUUAAAUAAACCUUUCGUUAGGGAAGACAUUUAGGACUCCACAGAAUAUUUAAAGAACAAAAGCAUGCAAGUGACAUAUCUCGAUUUCUGGGACACUGCCAAUGCAGUACUUAGAGGAGAUUUAUUGUUCCCAGUGCUUAUAUUAGGGAGGGGGAAAAAAGAGAAACUAUAAAUCAAGUCAAUACCUGAUGAACUUUGUUCCCUUUAAGUUACAAAGCAAGAGAAAAGAGAAAAAGGAAGUAAUAAAUUUAAACAAAAUGGAGGAAGAAGAGAGAACUGAUAAACAUAAUCAAUAGCACGUGGGAGGAAAUGGCCCUUCUGCUGAGUGGGGUAAAGUGGAGUGGGAGGGAGGAAGGGGCCCAGGUCCCACGAGGUAACUGGCUCCUCCUCCUCAUCAGAUGCCUGCGGGGUGGGUGGGCUUGGUCCAGGGGGUUCUCUUGACCUUGUGGGCACCCACUGGCCAUGGACUCCUGGCUGGUGUCUUGGUCCAACUAGUCCCUCGGAAGUACUUGGGGUGGGGUAGAGGAUGCUCAAAAUCAGGAAAGCCCCCAGCAGACCCCCAUAUCCAGGGAGAGGAGAGUGGUGAGGGUGCCCUGUCACGCAGCUCACACCUGUACUCUGCAAAUCCGUCUAGUCUUAUGCUUGCUGUGUCUUCCUUUCCCUCUGUCUUGCUUGUUUUCAGUAAAAAAAAAAAUUUAUGUUUCACCUGGGUAGAGAAAGGCUUUUGCUUGCUCUCAGGCCAGAUCAUCUGGGGAUCAGAUAUCCUGGGCUGGGUGCAGUCGGGGCACGGGUGACCAGUGUGGACGUAGAGCGGGGAGACUGGCUCUGCUGGGCUCACAAGUUCUUUUUGGGCUGGUUCUUUAGAGGAUUUAACAUUAUGUUUACUUGAAGGGAAAGUUCCCAUACUGUCAGUCUUAACAAAAUUAAUAAGCCAUUAGCCAAGUUCUAAAAAGGAGCAAAUGCAAAUUAAUAUACUCUGGAAAAAGGAAUGAACUAAUACAAAACAUCUUUUACAAGCAAAAUGAAGGGAUCAGAUUCUCAGCAGUCUGCCUGCAUGUUUUUGUAACAAAUGGAAAUUAAUAUCUUCCCAGGGGCUCAUCAUCUAUUCCCCCCAGCUCAAUGUAAUAUGCAGCAAUUUUUUUUUAAUGGAGAAGAAAAAGCUCCCAGCUGCUUUUUUGAACAAGCUGAGACAGACGGACAUUUUGGAGUAGAUCUGGGUCGGCGGAGAGCCGCUGGGUGGCUGCUCUGUUUUACGAUGGAGGUAGAGUGGGCUCUCAUUUUCCAGUUGCGGGGUCAGUGAAGAAUGGGCUCAGAAGGUGCUGGCCUCCCUGGCGUGCAAGGUUCUGGUACAAGCAAACCAAGGGCCUCCCGAGACCCCAGCCCCUUCUCCCUGAGAUCUGAAGUUAAGGAGAGCUGUAGUUUAGUGGGCUCUGGCCAGGUUGCCUGGCUGACAGGGCUGGGCUAUUCCCGGCACGGUGUGGGCUGAGCCUGGAAGUCCAGCCACCCUGCUGGUGUAGAGUUUUGGGGAGAAUCCCAAGCUUGUUGAAGAUGGCCUAAAAAACCCAAGGCCUUGGAUCCCUUGGGUCAGGAUCAGCAGGGGCAUCACUGCAGUGCCCACAGCAUCCUGUUGACUUUGGGACCAGUUUUCAGCAGUGACACUGGGUGGCAGCAUCAAAGGCAAAGAUGGCAGCUGACUCUCUGUGUCCAGUGUGCAGUGUGUGUUAUGGGGGCCUCAGGGUGGAUGUACUGAACCUCCUGCUAAUAGAAGCUUGUAGACAUGUAAUUAGAAAUUCAGAGAGACGUGACAGCAUUUGCAUGCUAAGCUGGUGAAGCGAAUCGUAUUGUUCCUCUCCAUGGACUUAGCACCAUAUAUUAAUUUUCAGUACUUUGCAAAAUCAAAUUAGUUUGGGCAGCUUUUAGAAAGGAAACAGGUGUUUACUACAAACACAUCUAAACUUCAAAUCUUUAGAACAGAACGGCAUUUUCUCUAAUGGUCAAAUAUAACUUCCAACUGGCUCCAUUUAAGGUAACGCUAGCGGCUGUAACAAACCUCAAAAUACAUAGGGCUCAAACAUCAUAGAAAAUCCAAAGUGAGUGUUGUGUUCAGCAGGCUGGCUCUCCUCCAAGCACUGACUCUUAGACCCAGGGUACUGCCACUUCAGCAUGUCACUUCCAGGGUCACCAUGCUUGUCCAUAUCAAGCUGCCUGAGGGGCGAAGAGCAUGGAGGACCACACAUGGGAACUUUUCAUGGGCCGGACCUGGGAGCAGUGCAUGUCACUUCUGCCCAUGUCCCAUGGACCAGAACUCAGUCACAGGGUCACUCCUCACUGCAAGGAGGCUGGACAGUGACAUCCAGUGAUGCCUGGAAGGAAGAGGACAUAACUUAGUGAACAGGUCACAGUUUGUGUCCCAGACAGCACAGUGAUUAUCACAAGAGACCCAGAGCACCCCUCACAAAAUUUGGACUGGAAAUGCCAAGUUCAAUGUAAAAAUGUCAAAGUCCUUGAACAUGUGUGUUGGAUGAAUGAGUAAAUGUGUCAUACAUUUCUCUUAUAGGGGGAUGAGUUUAUGAUUGUGAUCCUCGGGCCAAACUCACUAGCAGUACUGAAGCUUGCUACCACCUUCUGUCUUGACCGCUUUUUCAUCUUGGUGGUUCUGACACUUUGGGUCAAGGAGCAUGACAUAUUCCUUAAUGCUCAUGUCUGAACCAUUGUUCUGGGGAUGCUUCACAGCACCCUGAGUAUCAUCUGCCCAGGGACGUGCACACUCAUGCAGCUCUGGCUCUUCGAGGCAUCCGGGGCAUCGAAGGCUGAGCUCAGGGGAGACAUCAGUGCCUGUCACACACCCUGUAGGAACCGGGGAUUAUCCAGGAGCUCAUGUGUGAUAACUUCUGGGUUAGCAGAGGUGGGGAGAGAGAAAGAAAAGUGGGAAGGGUAAUGCUCUGGCAGUUCUCAGUGCUCCUGAAAUGUGGGCUAGGGAAGCCCUCUGUUUGACAGAGAAUAUUGUUGGGUCUGGGGUACCCUGUCUGGGGGAGAGUUAAAUGAUCUGUCUUUGUUUUUGUCAAAGGACUGGGGGAGUGGGUGUUCCCCUUUGAACAAGUUUCCCUGCUGCUCCUGAGAUUGACUGUGCAGUACAGUCCUCCCCUAUUUUGUCCAAAAUACAGCUGUUAAGUGUCAGAGGCAAGUUGCAAAUCCAGACAUGUUCAUGCCAAAAAGACUUAACCAUCAGCUUCUUAUUCUACAUUGGCCUUUCAAAGGUAGAUAUGGGAGAUACAGAAAGGUGGAAAGGAAUUCCUUGGCCAAGACUGAAAAAUGGCCAGAAAGGUAGAAAUAAGGAAGUGAUACUUUUUGAUUCCCUCCUUUAAUAGAUAGGUCUGCAAACCCCCUAUUAAGAAUAGUUAUCAAGCCCCUAAACAAACAAAAAACCUCACACAACAGGAUAAUGCAAGAAAAAAAGCCAAUAAAUCAUUAUCCAAAUUUUGGAAAAGUAGCGUGAAUUGCAUUUUGAAAAGUCAAGGGAAUGGAGUGAGGUCAUCUUAAAAUGGCAGAAGGCCCCUCAAAUUAGAGCCAGCUGUGCACAGGCUUCACACCUGGCUCCACACACGGGCCAGUCCACGUUAGAGACGAGUCAGAAACAGAAUCGAAAACCAUCCCGGGAACCCACAGGAAACACGAGUCCCUUGCCAGGUAGGAGCUGAAGUGGGAAUGCAAUGAUAUUAGCAGCCCUUUCAACUCUCCGUAGUGAAAUCCUCAAAGGUUUUAAAGCUUUCCACUCUUUCGUUUUAUUUUCUUAAUUUUAAAAACUGCCUUCUCCCAAUCUCUUUUCCUCCUUUGGUCUCAUGGUUACUUCCUGUUCCAGGCACCUGCAAAAUAGUCCCAGUUUCCUUUAAUUCAGACCCUGGAGUAUUUGUCCUAAGUUUCCAUGGCAACCUCUUUGAAGAAGGACUGUUUAUGGGAAUAUUAAAUUAUUUCAACCAAGACUAUCUGGGUUUGAAUCAUCAUUCUAAUUCUCAUCAGCCUAGUGAAUUAGGGUCCAUGCCUUGUUUUUCUCAUCUGUAAAAUGGGGAUAAGUAAUCACCUAAUAGGAUUGUUGUGAGGACUAAAUGAGAUGUUUUAUGUUAAUUAUUGGAGCAGUGCCUGGCACAUAGUAACUGCUUAAUAAAUAUUCGCUAUUUUUAUUGUGAAGUAGAAUAGAGGAGAGGAGUUGCAGGACAUUUUGUUGGAUGACAAACCCUAGCAAUUUUGGUCAUUCCAGAGAAAGGCACAGAGAGGAGGGCUAUGGGGCUGCCGGGUCUGGGACUCACAAACACCCCUAAUGCCAUCUCCCUGUGGGUCUGAAUUCCUCCAAACAUCAUGGCUCAGAGUGAAUCUACGAACUGUUGUCUUCCACCACUGCAAUUCCAUAGUUCACUGAUCUUUCAACCGUUUGUCAUUGGUACUUGUUUUAUGGCCAUCAGACAACUUCCCCUUUUAAACACCCCCUGAUCUCUUUUGGGGGAUUUGCCUUUAUCUCAUUGGGUGCAGGCUUUGGGGAGCUAUAGAUCAGGAAUUUUCUAACUUCCUUGCUGAAGAAAUCAAAGGGGUCUUCAGAGUCCAUCACAGAACUCUGACUGCCCAUGAAUUCUUGGGGCAUAGGACCUAUGCUCCAUCCAUCAGACUGUACUGGGACUCUGGACAGGUGGAGAGACACAGGACAGAAAAUAAAAGGGUUAUUGUCGGCUCACUGCAGGCAGAGCCCCACCCUAGUCCCUGCCGUUUCUUCUGCCUUCCAUGAGCCUUCUGAGUUACCCAGUAGGCUUCCUAUAUGCUAACUGGCCAGAGUCCCAGACUUUCUCUUGUUUGCGACCAAAGACUUCUAACUGACACUUAUUUGUUGAAUUCCAUUGAAAGCUGUUCAGUUUCACAGCUCUGACAGAUUAAAGGACAUGAAGACCACUAUUCAUUUCAAAAUAGCUCCCAAUUCAUGAGUUGGAACCCAGACGGAAGGUUGUACAGUAAUGAAAAAGUCACAGAACUUGUGGUUGUGUUCUGAUUCUUGUUCACCUGCUUAGAAUGCUUAAAAGUGAUCACUCAGGUUGCUCUCUCUCUAGAAACUUUCCAUGUACCAGAUAAUCCCAGUAAGGAAUCACCAGACCUGUCAGGCAGAGUGUGGAGAAGUGGCCUGUGGAACAGUUCUCCUGCCUCUGGUCUCUACCUCUUCCAAAAUAAUCAGGCUUGUGACAGAUGGAGCCAUCUGAGUCUUGAAGAUUCGUGAUGGCUGGAGCUGGAGGAGAUCUUGGGAACCAGCCUAAACAACCACCUUAGGUGGAAGAGGAGGGAAAUUGAAGGACUUGAGGACUGAAGGACUUGCUGAGUUGGAGUUGGAAUCCAGGACCCCAGACCUCCUUUAGCACUUCUUUUAUUACACCACAUGGACACUCAUGAACCAAGAGCUAAAGCUGUUGAAGAAGGUGGGCUGGUGAUGGCAGUAAUCAAAUCUAUUUCCAGUCUCUGACCCAUGCUCUUUGCAGGGAGAUGCUGAGUUGCCUCCCACUAGAGUGGGCAGAGUGUAAUUCUCUGCUCUGUGGCUGUUGGGUUUGGCUAUGUGACUUGCCUUGAGCAAUGGAAUAUGGGCAGAAGUCAGUUCUGAAGAGUAUCUGUGUUGCCACACUCACCUCUUGCACUUUCUGCUAUUUGUCAAGGAAAAAAAAAAAAAACAAAAACACUCCAGGUGGCCACUGGUCCCAGAAUGAGAGACAUGGAGGAGAACUAAGCACAACCCAGAGACUGAAGUCGAGCUGCUGCAACUGGCCUGCAGACCUGUGAAUGUGAACUAGAUGGUUGCUGCUCUAAGCCAUUGAGAUUUCUGAGUGUGUUUGUUACCCAGCAAGAUGCAGCAGGAACCUGCCUAAUACAGUGUUCUCAAACUGAAAGGAUGAGCAGUGUGAACAACAGAGUGCAUGGCUACAGACGGCCCACAGGCUGCUGCUGAGUAAACUUCCUAAAUCACUUCUCCUCCCAGGUCCUUUGUAACGAAGUCCAAUCUCCUUGGUUCAGGAGUGAAGAUUUUUCUCACCUGACUGCAACGAGUUCCUCAGUCUCAUCUUCUUUUCUCUGCCAACCUUCCAUUCCAGCCAUACCUAAACCACCUGCACAUUCCUACCUGAACCCCUCUACUCCAUCUAAUUAAAUCCCAGACCUCACAGAGACAACCAACUCCAUCCCAUUUGUCCCUCCUUCUUCUGAACACAGGUCAUCAGGGAGAACAGAUUGCUCAGUGAUGCUUCCACACUCUUCUUCACCCUGGUGCCCGCCCUGGUCCCUCCAUCCUUCUCUGUUAGAAGUUGUGUCUGGCAAAGCCCUACCUGCUCCUCACCCAGAUUCCUCUGUUUCGUAGUCCUAGCUGCCCUGUGUCACCCCCACCCCACCUCUGGGCACUCUCCCUGGUCCAUCCUCAUGUUAACAGGACCCAGGUGACUCCUGGGACAGAGGAGACGACGUUGAAAGCUGAGGGAAAAGGCCCUCAAAGGGGUGACUGUGACAAAGGGAAGAAGCCCAGCAGCCUGCAGGGGUUUGACAAGACCGACCUGGAUGCCAGGCUACACUUGCUAACUGAAACUGAGAGCUUGCUGGAGGAGGCCUGGGGAGGCCCUGACUUGACACCUGGUGGCGACUUAGAGCUCUUGAAGGCCCUUCUCCUCCUGGCAGGUGGGCAGCAAGAAGUCAAUGCCCAAGAAAGAGGGGGAGAGAGGACCUGCCUGAUCAUGGCAAAGAAAAGUAGCCCAAUGGUUCACUGAAAAUAUUUUACUGGAUGAAAUUUUUCCUGACUGGCAAGAGUGCUCUAGAAGUGGCUCCCCGGGAUCAUGGAGGAAGUCCUCUUGAGGCCAACACAGUUCCUGACUUUGCAUCAAAACCACCACCGGAAAACCUGAGCACGUGAAACAGAACACUGUCUCCAGUUCAGUUGGGAGAACCUGUAGCCCUUCAGGGCCCAAAGCCAGAGAAUAUGCCGGAGGAGAGUUUUAUUGCAGGAACCUAAAAUUAACCAGCUGGAAGUCUUUUAAAACAAUUAUCCUAUUCAUAUAUUUAAAAUAAAGUGCGCAUCUAUUAGCAGGCAGUCAGUGUUUCGUUGUGAAGAUGGAAGAUGGAACAGAGUGUUCUUGGCUACAUUAGUCCCAGAGUCUCAGGCUCCUCUUCACGACAUCUCAGCAUGUGGGGAAGACAUUUAUUGAGGUGAAUGUGUUUCAGGCCUGGCAGACUGGAGGCCCACAUACCUUCCCAGCAAGCAGCUGCCAGCCAGCUGAGUGGCACAGAGAAACCUUUCUGAAGUGAAGUCAUCAUCUCCUGACAGUCUACCAGAUGACUGGAGGGAGCAGGGAUGUUAGAGAGAGGAGGGGAGUUUUAGAAUGCUUGAUGAAUUUACCAAAAUCUCUUGAUAAGAGAUACUAAAAUACUUCAUAGAGCUACAAUAAUUAAAACAGUGUGAAAUGGUUGAAAAAGAGACUGUUCCAAUAGAUUCUUUUUUUCAGAAUAGACUAGGUUGCAUAGGAUGUCAGUAUAGAAUAAAGGGGAGACAAGGGGCUCAUUCCUUGAAAAGAUCAACAAAUGAUGAAAACUGCUGGCAAGUUUUACAGAGAAAAAGUCCACAUGAUUAGGAGUGAACAUGAAAACAACCCCUGAGGCAGCCCUGAUACCAAAACCUGACAAAACAAACUUUUACCAAAAUGGCAAAAAAUGACUAAAGAAGUCUUGAAUAAAGGAAGAGAUAUAUCCUCUUAAAGGGUGGAAAGUCUUUGUGGAUGUCAAUUCUACCCCAAAUUAAUAAAUAAAUUUAACACAAUUCCUAUCAA
Camelus dromedarius (Arabian camel) is the source of this 8265-nucleotide long non-coding RNA. RefSeq lists it as uncharacterized. The record is from RefSeq and is a predicted model, not a curated record. The transcript has 2 exons. Lineage: Eukaryota; Metazoa; Chordata; Mammalia; Artiodactyla; Camelidae.